AGUGAACGCUGGCGGCAGGCCUAACACAUGCAAGUCGAACGGAAGCACAGUAAGAUUUUGCUCUUACGGGUGGCGGGUGGCGGACGGGUGAGGAGUACAUCGGAAUCUACUUUUUCGUGGGGGAUAACGUAGGGAAACUUACGCUAAUAUCGCAUACGAUCUACGGGUGAAAGCAGGGGAUAUUUGGACCUUGCGCGAUUGAAUGAGCCGAUGUCGGAUUAGCUAGUUGGGGGGGUAAUGGCCCACCAAGGCGACGAUCCGUAGCUGGACUGAGAGGAUGGUCGGCCACACUGGAACUGAGACACGGUCCAGACUCCUACGGGAGGCAGCAGUGGGGAAUAUUGGGCAAUGGGCGCAAGCCUGAUCCAGCCAUACCGCGUGUGUGAAGAAGGCCUUCGGGUUGUAAAGCCCUUUUGUUGGGUAAGAAAAGCAGUAGGUUAAUACCCCGCUGUUCUGACGGUACCCAAUGAAGAAGCACCGGCUAACUUCGUG
This 492-nucleotide ribosomal RNA is filed under the name uncultured bacterium. Its description in RNAcentral is "partial 16S ribosomal RNA". It matches the Rfam family "Bacterial small subunit ribosomal RNA", at positions 29 to 507 of the family's 1533-position model. The record is from RNAcentral.